UCGUAUUUGUAUUUUAUUAGUUGUUCUUCGUAGUAUUUUUUUUGCUGCUUUUAUUACGUGGUUAAGCUUAUUUUUGUAUUGUUUGUAUUUGUUUUCAUUCUUUAUUGUAGGAUGAUUUAAGUAUUUUUUAUAUAGCUUGUUUUUCUUCGUGAUAGACUUGACAAUGCAAUUUGUUAUCCAUGGACUUUUUUUUUUGUCAAUAUUUUUUUUACCUUCUUUUUUGUCAGUGGAAAACUUUUUUCAUAGACAGUUGAAAAUAUGUCAAAGAAUCUAUUAUAGGACUCAGUGGUGUCAUUGCUAGAAAGAACAUUUUCCCAUGACGUACUUUUGAUUGUGUCAGUGAAUGUUUU
Paramuricea clavata is the source of this 350-nucleotide non-coding RNA. The record is from the annotation of a GenBank genome assembly. NCBI's taxonomy places the organism in Eukaryota, Metazoa, Cnidaria, Anthozoa, Malacalcyonacea, Plexauridae.